Perca flavescens (yellow perch) is the source of this 393-nucleotide long non-coding RNA. RefSeq lists it as uncharacterized. The transcript is spliced from 4 exons. NCBI's taxonomy places the organism in Eukaryota, Metazoa, Chordata, Actinopteri, Perciformes, Percidae. The record is from RefSeq and is a predicted model, not a curated record.
ACUUCAUUGGAUAAUUGAUAGUUAUUACAUAAUUCUGUGAGAUCAGGUUGGUUAUUAGGUGUUCAAAUAGGCUGUGCUUCUAUUUGUUCUGUAAAAAUCCCUGAGUGCUGAAAAGUGUUGGUUCAAUCGGAUGGUGAGCGGUCUGUCUGCAGGUGGCUGGCUGGGCUUGGGCCUCUGUGAUGAUGUGUCUGCUGGAUUGACAGCAUUGGCAGUGCAAGUGGAGAUUGGCAAGCUGCUGCCGCCUGCUCUCGUCCACAGUUCAUCUCGAACAACCCUAUUAACUACAUUGUGAGUGCAAUGGCAACUACGGCACAGACCAAAGCGUGGCUUGGAGUCAUGCUGCUUCACAUCCCGGUCAGGUAUCAGGACCUCAUCAUCACACCACCUCAGCUG